This 1475-nucleotide ribosomal RNA is filed under the name Salmonella enterica. RNAcentral's name for it is "partial 23S ribosomal RNA". It matches the Rfam family "Bacterial large subunit ribosomal RNA", at positions 711 to 2167 of the family's 2925-position model. The record is from RNAcentral. Lineage: Bacteria; Pseudomonadati; Pseudomonadota; Gammaproteobacteria; Enterobacterales; Enterobacteriaceae.
AGACCCGAAACCCGGUGAUCUAGCCAUGGGCAGGUUGAAGGUUGGGUAACACUAACUGGAGGACCGAACCGACUAAUGUUGAAAAAUUAGCGGAUGACCUGUGGCUGGGGGUGAAAGGCCAAUCAAACCGGGAGAUAGCUGGUUCUCCCCGAAAGCUAUUUAGGUAGCGCCUCGUGAAUUCAUCUCCGGGGGUAGAGCACUGUUUCGGCUAGGGGGCCAUCCCGGCUUACCAACCCGAUGCAAACUGCGAAUACCGGAGAAUGUUAUCACGGGAGACACACGGCGGGUGCUAACGUCCGUCGUGAAGAGGGAAACAACCCAGACCGCCAGCUAAGGUCCCAAAGUCAUGGUUAAGUGGGAAACGAUGUGGGAAGGCCCAGACAGCCAGGAUGUUGGCUUAGAAGCAGCCAUCAUUUAAAGAAAGCGUAAUAGCUCACUGGUCGAGUCGGCCUGCGCGGAAGAUGUAACGGGGCUAAACCAUGCACCGAAGCUGCGGCAGCGACACUGUGUGUUGUUGGGUAGGGGAGCGUUCUGUAAGCCUGUGAAGGUGUGUCGUGAGGCAUGCUGGAGGUAUCAGAAGUGCGAAUGCUGACAUAAGUAACGAUAAAGCGGGUGAAAAGCCCGCUCGCCGGAAGACCAAGGGUUCCUGUCCAACGUUAAUCGGGGCAGGGUGAGUCGACCCCUAAGGCGAGGCCGAAAGGCGUAGUCGAUGGGAAACGGGUUAAUAUUCCCGUACUUGGUGUUACUGCGAAGGGGGGACGGAGAAGGCUAUGUUGGCCGGGCGACGGUUGUCCCGGUUUAAGCGUGUAGGUGUGUGUUCCAGGUAAAUCCGGUUCACUUUAACACUGAGGCGUGACGACGAGGCACUACGGUGCUGAAGCAACAAAUGCCCUGCUUCCAGGAAAAGCCUCUAAGCAUCAGGUAACAUCAAAUCGUACCCCAAACCGACACAGGUGGUCAGGUAGAGAAUACCAAGGCGCUUGAGAGAACUCGGGUGAAGGAACUAGGCAAAAUGGUGCCGUAACUUCGGGAGAAGGCACGCUGACACGUAGGUGAAGUGAUUUACUCAUGGAGCUGAAGUCAGUCGAAGAUACCAGCUGGCUGCAACUGUUUAUUAAAAACACAGCACUGUGCAAACACGAAAGUGGACGUAUACGGUGUGACGCCUGCCCGGUGCCGGAAGGUUAAUUGAUGGGGUCAGCGCAAGCGAAGCUCCUGAUCGAAGCCCCGGUAAACGGCGGCCGUAACUAUAACGGUCCUAAGGUAGCGAAAUUCCUUGUCGGGUAAGUUCCGACCUGCACGAAUGGCGUAAUGAUGGCCAGGCUGUCUCCACCCGAGACUCAGUGAAAUUGAACUCGCUGUGAAGAUGCAGUGUACCCGCGGCAAGACGGAAAGACCCCGUGAACCUUUACUAUAGCUUGACACUGAACAUUGAGCCUUGAUGUGUAGGAUAGGUGGGAGGCUUUGAAGUGUGG